Molecule: non-coding RNA, 106 nt
Filed under: human gut metagenome
Source: RNAcentral
UUAGCUAGGGGAGCUUUUGCUGAGAUUCAUCUUUGAGUAUAUUACCUAUAAGAUGUAACCCUCAAUACCUGAACCGGAUAAUACCGGCGUAGGGAAGCGCAAAUAG